This 647-nucleotide unclassified non-coding RNA is filed under the name Hevea brasiliensis (rubber tree). The record is from RNAcentral. Lineage: Eukaryota; Viridiplantae; Streptophyta; Magnoliopsida; Malpighiales; Euphorbiaceae.
AAAUUUUAAGGUUGAACUUUUUUUCUAGUAGAGGAAUUGGGGGUUGAGACUGGAGCCUGAUUUACUAAAUGAAUGAUAUACUUUCAAUUAUCAGAACAAGUCAAGUUGUCAUAUGAGUUGACCUGAACUAGCCGCCGAUACUAAAAUAUAGGAACUUUCCUUGAAACCCAAUUUUAAUGGGAAGAAAAGCUUGACCGUUUACCAACCAGCCAAUUUGGAAGACUUGUAAGGGGACCACAGCAAGAAACUGCCAAGAAGGCAUUCCCGUACACAGGACUGGAUGAAAAGCAUCAAAGAGGACUUCCCAUACACAGGACUUUUAUCUUUCGCUUGGAGUUGAACUUAUUAAACUUUGGGUUAAUUUGGUUAAUUAAUUCCUUCCCUCGAAUCAGCUUGUUGCUCUUCUUGUUUGAUCAUCUUGGUACUGUAGGUUUUGUCAGAUUUUACAAAUGUGUCGUGUUUUGUUACUCUUCAUCCCUUGAGUUGUGUCGAUUUUCCUUGCUUUUCUGUAUCUUCUUGUUAGGUUCUUUCACUUAGCAUUUAUUGUAAAAUAAAUCUUAAUAAAUCAUAACAAUCAUAAAUAUAAUAUGAAUCAUAAACGUAAAAUUCAACCAUCACAUUAAUAAUGGAUCUUGAAUAAAUAAAUU